UUGGUUUACUGACUUUUUCUCUGGGGUUAGA
RNAcentral lists this non-coding RNA (31 nucleotides) under Mus musculus (house mouse). The record is from RNAcentral. Lineage: Eukaryota; Metazoa; Chordata; Mammalia; Rodentia; Muridae.